AGGGAAUACGGUUCCAAUUCCGUAACCUAUUGAGUAUACGUUUGUUAUUUGAAAUUCGUUUCGAAUAGCAUCUCGGUAACGAGAAGCUCUCAUAGAGACGUCAAUGGGAGAUAUCGAAAGAGUUUUCUUUUCUGUUUUACAAUCGUACGUACCAUGGAAGUCUUUCAUAGAGAGAUAUGGUAUAACAGAUUGGUAGAGCAUGACAUUAAAUUGUUGUGUCGGUAUACUCUCAUUGGACCUUGAAAAUCUAUGAAAGGGACACGAUAAAUUCUCAAUAGCCUGUACCCGAAUCCGCAGCAGGUCUCCAAGAUUAAGAGUCUCUAGUCGAUAGAACAAUGUAGGUAAGGGAAGUCGGCAAAUUAGAUCCGUAACUUCGGGAUAAGGAUUGGCUCUGAAGACUGUGG
This 404-nucleotide ribosomal RNA is filed under the name Oxyrrhis marina. Its description in RNAcentral is "partial Eukaryotic large subunit ribosomal RNA". It matches the Rfam family "Eukaryotic large subunit ribosomal RNA", at positions 1599 to 1966 of the family's 3401-position model. Lineage: Eukaryota; Dinophyceae; Oxyrrhinales; Oxyrrhinaceae. The record is from RNAcentral.